This is a long non-coding RNA of Cydia amplana, 312 nucleotides long. RefSeq lists it as uncharacterized. The record is from RefSeq and is a predicted model, not a curated record. The transcript has 2 exons. NCBI's taxonomy places the organism in Eukaryota, Metazoa, Arthropoda, Insecta, Lepidoptera, Tortricidae.
GCAAUAACCUUUACAGUCGCGAUGAUGACUUUGAUGAUAAAAAUGGCUUUCACAAUAGCGAUGUUGGCGUUCUCAAUAUGUACCGUAGCCAAGGUCGUGGCACUACAAGCAGAAUUGAUAAAGAAAAGUUACGUGCCAUCAUUACUCUGCUGCACCACUAUAACCCCUUAAUGAAGUUGUAUUCAAUGAAGGCUAAUGGUAAGAAACGGGUUGCCUGGAGAAAGUGGAUUGGCUGGUAUGACUCGUCGAAUAGUGGAAUUAAUGGUAUAGGAUAAUAAAUGGAAAGUCGGUAAUUUGAGGUGUUGUAUUCAA